RNAcentral lists this non-coding RNA (29 nucleotides) under Homo sapiens (human). Lineage: Eukaryota; Metazoa; Chordata; Mammalia; Primates; Hominidae. The record is from RNAcentral.
CACAGACACAACCCCAAGGGUCCACAUGC